AUGGCGAUAGCGAUAGCGAGGGCGGCUCCUCACAGCUAGCUCAUAGCUUCACGAUAGUCCCCUCCAUUAUGUCCUCACAGGACAGCAUUUAUAUCAGCAGAGAGAGGAGAAAGGGAAAAAAAAAUCUUCCUAUGACUUGCUGCUCUACACAUAGCAUCCUUGACUGGGCUUCCCAGUUACACCUUGCUGAGUAAAGCACAACUAACUCCAGCCAAUCACUUUACGAAGCCCAUGCAGUUGCUUUCUCUCCCUUGCUUUCCUGAGUGCUGAGUCAGCUGGUGAACAUGGUCAAUUCAGAAAGAAAAAUCUACCCAGGGCAGGAUGGACAACAGUGAGAAAAUGCUCCUACAUCUGAGCCAUCAAGGUCGACUUGCAAAUGAGCAUACACACAGUCUUAUCUCAGAUUCUGCCUUCAGGGAGUCUGCUGUUCAAACACCAAGUGAAUAAAAUCCGUGUCUUUCUAAGAAGAAGGCUACGUAGCUGUUGACCCAUUGGAGCAGUGGAGAGGAUGGAUUUAUUUCAUCUUAGAGGUUGCAGCCCAUCACCAAGGGAUGCCAGAGCAGGAACUCCAGCAUGAGCCUGAAGCAGAAACUGUGGAAGAUGCUGGCUCAGGCUCCUGCUUAGCAAAGAAUCUCUCCAAGUAAAAAGUAGACUUUGUGCCCCACAUAAAUCCUGAAAGAUGAUUGCACUUCAAGCCAAAAAUUCAGGGCAAACUGUCAACGUCCACCAAGAAUGUGCCUCCUGUGGACUGCUUGGGAAAGCCGGGACCAGGAGAAGAACAGCCAUUACAUAAGGAGAAAAGGGAAUGCCAUCAAACAUGAUCUCAAAAGAGUAGUCACCUUUGUGCCACUUCAUGUAGUUUAAAGUCUGCAAAACUCUACUUGGCAGACACUUAGGUAGUGACUUGUAAACAGGACACACAGAGCUGAUGGAUAAAAAAAAAAUUCUGUGAGAUGUAUCCCCACCUGUAAGGGGCCCACCAGGCAUGCGGGUACAGGUGCCUCAUAAGGAAAGAUCUGCUGGGCAGGCCUGGCAGAUUGGAAGAAUUGGUGACAUUUGAGGUGGGAAGAUGGCAGGAUUCAGUGGGUAGAGAUGGGAGAGAAAGUGGUUCUAGACUCAUGUGAUCAGUAUAGACCACCCUCAGCAGACAGAGACCCUGUUUGUGGGAAUAGCUCCACUGGGACAAGUGACAAGAAAGGUGGCUUUCAGAAUGUGACUUAUUAGUCAUAAGAGACUUGAAGGUUUCCAUGGUUUUAUUUGGGAAGACAGAAGACAUGUGAGAGUUUGGCCAAAGACGUGAGUGCUCGGGCUGAGCUUGGCUGCAGUGAUUCUGGGGGAAGACAAUGUGAUAAAUAGAUUUAAGGAUUUAAAGAGAGUUUGGAGGCAGAUGACUCUCUUGUGCUUUUACCUUUUCUUCUCUAACACACUGCUUAGGUUUAAGGAGAUGUUAGACAUUAACAAGCAUGAGUUGCAUAGCCAUGCCCUCCUCUCAGGAUGUACGAUUCCCAGCUGCGCUAUGAGACAACAUCUACCAUCUUAAUGCCUCCUGCUUCUUGUAGGAAGCUGACUUAAGAUUUUUGCCCCUGCUAAUGAAGGUUGUGUGUUGCACUGAGAAGUAUUUACCAGUGCUGCCUAAAAAAAAUGCAAUGUGAGCUUGAGCCUUUGAUCUAACAACUCUGUGGCUGGAACUUGUCUCAAGAAAAAGAUGGCUACAAAGAUUUAGCUAUUAAAAAUUCCAACUCUGCGCUGCAUCGAAAGCUAAACAAUUGGAAACAGCCUAGCUAUCUGAGAAGAGAAGGGCAAAUAAGUUAUUCAGCCAAUGAAACUUCACAGAAGACUAUCUGAUAGUGUGGGGAAAUGCUAUAAC
This is a long non-coding RNA of Mesocricetus auratus (golden hamster), 1867 nucleotides long. RefSeq lists it as uncharacterized. The record is from RefSeq and is a predicted model, not a curated record. NCBI's taxonomy places the organism in Eukaryota, Metazoa, Chordata, Mammalia, Rodentia, Cricetidae. The transcript has 5 exons.